RNAcentral lists this ribosomal RNA (1375 nucleotides) under uncultured prokaryote. RNAcentral's name for it is "partial 16S ribosomal RNA". It matches the Rfam family "Bacterial small subunit ribosomal RNA", at positions 29 to 1401 of the family's 1533-position model. The record is from RNAcentral.
AUGAACGCUGGCGGCAUGCCUAACACAUGCAAGUCGAACGAAGGCCCAGAGCUUGCUUUGGUGUCCUUAGUGGCGGACGGGUGAGUAACGCGUGGGAACCUACCUUGGAGCGGGGAAUAACUAUUGGAAACGAUAGCUAAUACCGCAUACGCACUUCGGUGGAAAGGAUUCGGCCACUCUAAGACGGUCCCGCGUCUGAUUAGCUUGUUGGUGAGGUAACGGCCUACCAAGGCUGCGAUGGUUAGCUGGUCUGAGAGGAUGAUCAGCCACGCUGGAACUGACAUACGGUCCAGACUCCUACGGGAGGCAGCAGUGAGGAAUUUUGCGCAAUGGGGGAAACCCUGACGCAGCAACGCCGCGUGAGUGAUGAAGGCCCUUGGGUCGUAAAGCUCUGUCAAGUGGGAAGAACCUGAUCUAUGCCAAUACCAUAGAUCACUGACGGUACCACUGAAGGAAGCACCGGCUAACUCCGUGCCAGCAGCCGCGGUAAUACGGGGGGUGCAAGCGUUAUUCGGAAUUAUUGGGCGUAAAGGGAGCGCAGGCGGUCCUGCAGGUCAGAUGUGAAAGCCCGGGGCUUAACCCCGGAAGUGCAUUUGAAACCGCAAGGCUUGAGUAUGGGAGAGGGUAGUGGAAUUCCUGGUGUAGAGGUGAAAUUCGGUAGAUAUCAAGAGGAACACCGGUGGCGAAAGGCGACUUCUCUGAGACCAAUACUGACGCUGAGGCGCGAAGGCGUGAGAGAGCAAACAGGAUUAGAUACCCUGGUAGUCCACGCAGUAAACGGUGAAACACUAGGUGUAGCGGGUAUUGACCCCUGCUGUGCCGCAGCUAACGCAUUAAGUGUUCCGCCUGGGAAGUACGGCCGCAAGGUUAAAACUCAAAGGAAUUGACGGGGGCCCGCACAAGCGGUGGAGCAUGUGGUUUAAUUCGACGCAACGCGAAGAACCUUACCUGGGUUUGACAUCCCGAGAAGUCUCUUGAAAGAGAGAUGUGCCCUUCGGGGAACUCGGUGACAGGUGCUGCAUGGCUGUCGUCAGCUCGUGUCGUGAGAUGUUGGGUUAAGUCCCGCAACGAGCGCAACCCCUGUCUCUAGUUACCAGCAUUAAGUUGGGGACUCUAGAGAUACUGCCCCGGUUAACGGGGAGGAAGGUGGGGAUGACGUCAAGUCCUCAUGGCCUUUAUGUCCAGGGCUACACACGUGCUACAAUGGGCUGUACAAAGGGUUGCCAACCUGCGAGGGUGAGCUAAUCCCAGAAAGCAGUCCUUAAUUCGGAUUGGGGUCUGCAACUCGACCCCAUGAAGUCGGAAUCGCUAGUAAUCGUGGAUCAGCAUGCCACGGUGAAUACGUUCCCGGGCCUUGUACACACCGCCCGAAGGG